Molecule: non-coding RNA, 23 nt
Filed under: Cricetulus griseus (Chinese hamster)
Lineage: Eukaryota; Metazoa; Chordata; Mammalia; Rodentia; Cricetidae
Source: RNAcentral
GCAGUAAAGGUGAGGGUCUGACC